UCUCAUACCAGCCGCAUGCCCUCACUCCCACCCAGACCAUCAUAUAAUAGUUCUCAUCUUUUCCCCCCUCAGUUUUCUCUCCCACCUAACCCACGAUGGCGAAGUUGUGAUGCUCAUAGCAAAGAUAUGUGAUGCAGAUGCACCCUGCGAAGAAGAUGCUCAUGCCAUGAAGAUGUGAUGCUGACGGCGACUUCUUCCCGACGCCAACCGACGUUGUCUCCCCUGUUCUCUUCCACUCAUUCCCUUCUUGAGUGAGAAUGGUGGAUUUCCAAUUCAAACUCACCAGCUGAGCUUUACCCACUCCAGAUCUAUAAGCUUUAGCCGCGAUACUAGCUUUAAUUGCUCAGAAUGGAAAAUUGUUGCCUACCUUUUCUUCAAAAUUUCUAACCUACUUCUCCACUCAGAUCUGUUUUUUCUCUCGCUCUCUCUCAAAUCGUAAAUUGUAACUGUGGUGAUUCUACAACUCUGAUGGCUUCUUGCUCGGGGUAUUGUUUCUGAAAGAUGAGUACUGACGCAGAUCACGGCAGCCUUGACACAGAAGGUGAUUCCAAAAUUAUACAUUGAGAUAUGAAGGUUGAUAAUGUAGUUGUUAACAAUGAAUUUGAACCAAAGGUAUUUAGGAUAGUGAUAACAACAAAGAAAAAGGCAUUAAAAUUUUUAAUUAAAUGUCAAAAAUUUUUUUUAAAGAUAUUGAGAAAUUUGUACACAUGAAUUUGUUCAUUUCAUAUUUGUAUGAAAGUUUGCUUUUUUAUUUUUGACUGUCUUUAAUAUUAAAUUUUGUGACAAAAUAAAUUCCAUAAUCUAUUUAUAUAAUUUUUGUUUGGAUUGCAGAUGUUCACUUGUUAGGUUUUUCCUUAUUAGUAAUAAUGUUAUUCAAACCUCCAGUAAGGUGAUGAGCCUAAUAACGUGUAACUUGUAACUUUUUUUUCUUGUUAAUUGUGUGAUCUAGUAUAAUUACAUUGCUGUCAAUUAUGUAUAGUUUUUGAAUAGUUAAAAUAUAUAAAAAUAUAAUAUCAACAAAGUGAAUACUAAUUUUUUUGGGCUUCUCUUGCAAAGAAUUUCAUUCUAUAAAAAAAUUCCUAACUGAUUUUUCAUUAUAGUUAUGCUUAUUCAGAAUAUUAUCUUUUCCGAAAAGUUUCUGAGAAAUCACGUGUUUAUUCUUAUGGUGUUGUGCUUUUAGAGAAAAAUACUAAGAGAAUGUCUUCGGAUAAAUCUUUUACAUGUUAGUAAAUAGGUAAUUGAUUUUUUUUGAAAAUUUAAUUUGAUAAAUAAAAUAUAUAUAUAUAUAUAUAUUUAUUUAUUUAAUGAAGAUAAACCAGUAAAAAAAAUAUGUGAGUGAAUUUAUGUAAUUUCUAUAAUGAACAUAUGUUGUUUUGAAAAUUGGACUUUUAAUUUAUUUUAGAAGAUAGUUUUUAAUAUUAGAAUUCAUGUUCAAAAAUGUGAAUGUACUUAUAAUUAUUAAUAUAUUAGAAAAUAGAAAAGUUUUAUUAAAUAACGAAUACUUCAUUUUAUAUGUUUAGGCAAGAAAUCAAAUUGAACUAGUUUUGAAAAAUGAAGAAUAUAUGUCUCUUCUUGAUUUCAAAUUAAGAAGUUAUGAUAUAGGGUAAAGGAAAUACAUUAUUUCAUGUGUUAUAAUUAUCGUAUAUAAAUUUUUAAUGUUUUGUAUAUCUUUCUAUGUAUAUAUGACAAUGAAAGAUUACAUAAUUGAUGUAAUCAUUUUACGGUUAUUAUAUUAUGCUAUGCAGAUAAUUGAAGUUCUUGAAGAAAUUAUGCCUGCAGAGAGCAAAUAUGAGAUUAAAAAGACAAUAAAUUGUUACAUAAUGUUAUAUAUAAUAUUACAUUUUUUUAUGAAAAUUAUGACGUAUAUAGAAAAGGUAAAUCAUAAUUUUCUUAAAAAAUAAAUAUUAUAUAUGGUAUUGUGUAAGAAUUUAUCUUUUCCGAUCUCAUAUUUGCUCUGUAGGUAUAUUUCUUUCAAAAAUUCCAAUUAUAUGUAUCCUAUAAUAUAAUAAUGGUAAAAAAGUUAUGCCAAAUUUUAAUCUUUCAUUGGGACAUAUAGAUAGAUAUGUUAAGAUUUUCCAUCUUUCUUUGGUGGUUGAAACUAUGAAAGUUUAUACAUGGAAAUUAUAGUACAAGAAAUCAUGUAUUUCAUAAUUUCUUAAUUUGGAAUCAACAAGAGCCGUAUAUUAUUAAUUACUCAAAACUAGUUUAAUUGGAUUUAUUUACUAAAUAUUGAUAAAAAAGUAUUUAUUAGUUAAUCAAGUUUUAAUUUUUUCAAUAUUGUAAUGUUAACUUUAUUUAUAUAUUUGUAAAUGUAUUUUAAUAAUAAGAACUAUUUACAAAUUAAUAGGCCAAGAGUACUUAUAGAACUCUAUGUUGGAAUUAUAAGAACUAUAUUAGUUUACUCACAUAUUUUUUAUUAUUGGUUUUCAAUUAAAUAAAAAAUAUAUUUUGUUUACCAAUUUAAAUUUUCAAAAAAAGUCAAUAAUUUAUUUGCUUAUAUAUAAAAUAUUUUAAUUGCAUUGGUGUAGUAUGUUGUCAAUAAUUGUCAUACCAUUCAAUGAUGUUAAAAUCUUUAUCGUCACAAGACAUUCUCUCAAAUAUUUAUCUCUAAAAGCACAACACCAUAAGAAUAGACAUCUGAUUUUUUAGAGAUUAUUUGGAAAUGAUAAUGUUUUGUAUCUGCAUAACUAUAAUAAAAUAUUCGGUUAAGAAUUUUUUUCUAAAAUGAAGUUUUUUGUUGGAAAUGUCUAAAAAAAUUGGCAUUCUUUGUUGUUAUUUUAUUUUAUAUAUUUUAAUUAUUCGAAAGUUAUAUUAAUUGAUAGCAAUAUAAUUAUUCUUACUCACUUAAUUAACAAAAAAAAAAUUAUGACUUACAGUUAGUUCAACUCAUCACCUUACUAGAGAUGUGAUUAACAUUAUCACUAAUUAGGAAAAAACUGGUAAGUGAAAAAUCUGCAAUCUAAAUAAAAGUUAUCUAAGUAAAUUAGGGUGCUUAUUUUAGCACACAAUUUGAUAACAAAGACAAUCAAAUAUAACAAAAUAAACUUACAUCCAAACAUGAAAAUUAAUGAGUUCACAUGCACAAUUUUCUCAAUAUUUUUUAGAAAGAAAUUUUCGGCAUUUAAUUUAGGAUUUAAAAUGCCAAAGAAGAAGAAAGGCACAAUAAGCUUAAUCACAUCCCGAUGCUCCAGCUUCAUCAAAGGCCUCUGCUCUGCACUCUCCAGGUAAUUUUUUUUCUGGCUUAUUUUCUACUUAUUUCAUCCCACCUCAGGCUAGCCUUUUUGUUUUUUUUCU
Molecule: long non-coding RNA, 3294 nt
Organism: Hevea brasiliensis (rubber tree)
Lineage: Eukaryota; Viridiplantae; Streptophyta; Magnoliopsida; Malpighiales; Euphorbiaceae
Exons: 3
Source: RefSeq, a predicted model, not a curated record